UACGUAGGUGGCAAGCGUUGUCCGGAUUUAUUGGGCGUAAAGCGCGCGCAGGCGGUCGUUCAAGUCGAGUGUGAAAGCCCCCGGCUCAACUGGGGAGGGUCAUUCGAUACUGAUCGACUCGAAGGCAGGAGAGGGAAGUGGAAUUCCCGGUGUAGUGGUGAAAUGCGUAGAUAUCGGGAGGAACACCAGUGGCGAAGGCGACUUCCUGGCCUGUUCUUGACGCUGAGGCGCGAAAGCUAGGGGAGCAAACGGA
This 253-nucleotide ribosomal RNA is filed under the name uncultured bacterium. Its description in RNAcentral is "partial 16S ribosomal RNA". It matches the Rfam family "Bacterial small subunit ribosomal RNA", at positions 524 to 776 of the family's 1533-position model. The record is from RNAcentral.